AUUGAACGCUGGCGGCAGGCCUAACACAUGCAAGUCGAGCGGAGCGGCGGACGGGUGAGUAAUGCCUAGGAAUCUGCCUGGUAGUGGGGGAUAACUUCCGGAAACGGGAGCUAAUACCGCAUACUAUCAGAUGAGCCUAGGUCGGAUUAGCUAGUUGGUGGGGUAAAGGCCUACCAAGGCGACGAACCGUAACUGGUCUGAGAGGAUGAUCAGUCACACUGGAACGGAGACACGGUCCAGGCUCCUGUGGGAGGCAGCAUUGGGGAAUAUGGGACAAUGGGCGAAAGCCUGAUCCAGCCAUGCCGCGUGUGUGAAGAAGGUCUUCGGAUUGUAAAGCACUUGAAUUUGGGAGGCGUUACCAACAGAAUAAGCACCGGCUAACUUCGUGCCAGCAGCCGCGGUAAUAC
RNAcentral lists this ribosomal RNA (407 nucleotides) under uncultured bacterium. RNAcentral's name for it is "partial 16S ribosomal RNA". It matches the Rfam family "Bacterial small subunit ribosomal RNA", at positions 30 to 526 of the family's 1533-position model. The record is from RNAcentral.